This is a long non-coding RNA of Bos taurus (domestic cattle), 512 nucleotides long. Lineage: Eukaryota; Metazoa; Chordata; Mammalia; Artiodactyla; Bovidae. The record is from Ensembl.
AUCCAGGACCUGCUUUCAGCCCUUAUCUUCCAUACAUCAGCUGUUCCCGAGCCAGCGUGCGAGGCCGCCUCACGUGCACACCCUGUGCAGCCCGAGGCAUCAGCCCAAGGGACUAGUUCUCAGGGCCUAGGACCCUGCUCACCCAGUCCUGUCAGCUGGAAGGAGGGCGGAGCCAGGAGGCCUGCAGCCCGGGCCUGUCGCCAGUCCUCUGCGCACCGGGUCUAAGGCGCGGGGAUGGCGCAGUUCCUUCCCAGUCAGCCUGCAGCAGUUGCGAACCUGAUGCCACUCUGCCUUCCUCGCCCCCACGUCCAGCUCUGCCCUCCAAAGCCCUCUAGACUUUCGGAGAUCACUGCCAAGGCCUGAAAAGCUGAGGACAAGAGCCUGGGUGUCUGAAGUCACCUGUUUGCCCUUCAUCUCUGCGGCCCUAACUGAAACCUCAGCUUACACUUUGCUUCUGACAGCUCUGGAUAUACCAGCUGACUCGGUCUUUUAACAACUAAUGAGACCGGUGG